Molecule: ribosomal RNA, 409 nt
Filed under: Meyerozyma guilliermondii
Lineage: Eukaryota; Fungi; Ascomycota; Pichiomycetes; Serinales; Debaryomycetaceae
Description: LSU rRNA
Rfam family: Eukaryotic large subunit ribosomal RNA
Source: RNAcentral
CUUGUCUAUGUUUCUUGGAACAGGACGUCACAGAGGGUGAGAAUCCCGUGCGAUGAGAUGCCCAAUUCUAUGUAAGGUGCUUUCGAAGAGUCGAGUUGUUUGGGAAUGCAGCUCUAAGUGGGUGGUAAAUUCCAUCUAAAGCUAAAUAUUGGCGAGAGACCGAUAGCGAACAAGUACAGUGAUGGAAAGAUGAAAAGAACUUUGAAAAGAGAGUGAAAAAGUACGUGAAAUUGUUGAAAGGGAAGGGUUUGAGAUCAGACUCGAUAUUUUGUGAGCCUUGCCUUCGUGGCGGGGUGACCCGCAGCUUAUCGGGCCAGCAUCGGUUUGGGCGGUAGGAUAAUGGCGUAGGAAUGUGACUUUACUUCGGUGAAGUGUUAUAGCCUGCGUUGAUGCUGCCUGCCUAGACCGA